This 350-nucleotide transfer-messenger RNA is filed under the name Christensenellaceae. RNAcentral describes it as "HGM11412 sp900770185 Standard tmRNA". It matches the Rfam family "transfer-messenger RNA". From Rfam's summary of the family: Bacterial tmRNA, also known as 10Sa RNA or SsrA, is named for its dual tRNA and mRNA-like properties. Its role is to liberate the mRNA from a stalled ribosome. RNAcentral also lists the same sequence under 1 other name. The record is from RNAcentral. Lineage: Bacteria; Bacillati; Bacillota; Clostridia; Christensenellales.
GGGGAUGUUCCGGAUUUGAUUGGCAGGCAAGGCCACAGUAAGCAUACCGAAGUUUCCCGCGGCUUCGUUAAAACGGGAAUCUAAAUUUAAACGCUAACAAUAACAAAUUAGCAGUUGCCGCUUAACUAAGCGGUUGUCCGAUAUAAAAACGCCGUCGGUUUAUAAAGGGCAUAAUUUAAGACGGAACGUUACGUUAAAGUCUGACCGUGCUUUUACGCAACUAUCUUCGGUCAAAUGCGCGGCGGGUUGGUCCGCAAUGGCACCGCGCAAGAUUGUAAAAGCGGAAUAAGUAUGUAGAAAGCUUGGUUGAACUUGUUAAGACGUGAGUUCGACUCUCACCAUCUCCACCA